GCCUUCGUGGUGUAGUGGUCAGCACGCUCGACGCGUAUUCAAAAGGUCCAGGGUUCGAUUCCCGGUGAGGGCC
Stegodyphus mimosarum is the source of this 73-nucleotide non-coding RNA. The record is from Rfam. Lineage: Eukaryota; Metazoa; Arthropoda; Arachnida; Araneae; Eresidae.